Long non-coding RNA from Scylla paramamosain (green mud crab), 834 nucleotides. RefSeq lists it as uncharacterized. The record is from RefSeq and is a predicted model, not a curated record. The transcript is spliced from 6 exons. Lineage: Eukaryota; Metazoa; Arthropoda; Malacostraca; Decapoda; Portunidae.
GUGGCGUCGUGUGUUUUGUAGUGCGCAUCUGUACCGGGGUCUGUGCUUUUUUGAACACUCAUUCAUAGUCAAUAUGAAUCAGGACUGUCGACGCCCUAGCAUUAGUCUGAUCCCAACGGCUCUGCAGGACUGUCCGCCUCCGGCGCCACCAGUGUCCUGCAGCAUCACUUCUCUUUAUUGUCUUCGUCACGGCUUCCUCCACGCCGUCUGGUCGUGAGGACAGGAGUCAGGGCUCUGCACGAACCACUGAGGCUGGUCGCUCAAGAUUGGGAUCACUGCACCUUCAAGCGUAAAUAGUAGUGAGCGUCUGAUUCUGAUUGGUGGAUGACUGACCAUUGUGUCCCAUGAUUGGCGGUAGUUGGUGAAGGAGAUGUCAGCAAUCUGAGCCAGGAGCUGCCAGACUCUUAGCGCCGUCAUGUUGAGCACCUCUCCGAUGGCCACAGGACAGGCAGGGUGGCGCGCCCUACACCCAGCUGGGUCACCCUCCGUCACUCCCCCGCGAGCUGCCCUCACGUACCGCCAGAACCUGUUGUGCUCGUCCUCCUCUACAUCGCCAUGCUGAGGACUGGUGAGGCAGAUUGUGUCAGAAGAGAAAGGAAAGUAUGACAUGAAGGGAAAAACGUAAAACACUUGAAGGAAAAUAUAAAAGUACUCUAGUUUUAUUUUUGUUUGAGCGAACGACACCUGACUAAGGAAGGACUAUGAAAGGAAAAUAUGUAAAAACUGCACUCUUAAUCCCGGUGUAUAUUUGUAUGGAGGGAAUCCAAAGGCACCUGACAAAAGAAGAGGUUUGAAAACAAGAUAUCUUAAAAUAACACUCUUACUCAUUGCGAA